AUACUAGGGGGCAAGCGUUAUCCGGAUUUACUGGGUGUAAAGGGUGCGUAGGUGGUAUGGCAAGUCAGAAGUGAAAACCCGGGGCUCAACCCCGUGGAUUGCUUUUGAAACUGUCAAACUGGAGUACCGGAGAGGUAAGCGGAAUUCCUAGUGUAGCGGUGAAAUGCGUAGAUAUUAGGAGGAACACCAGUGGCGAAGGCGGCUUACUGGACGGUAACUGACACUGAGGCACGAAAGCGUGGGGAGC
RNAcentral lists this ribosomal RNA (247 nucleotides) under uncultured bacterium. RNAcentral describes it as "partial 16S ribosomal RNA". It matches the Rfam family "Bacterial small subunit ribosomal RNA", at positions 523 to 769 of the family's 1533-position model. The record is from RNAcentral.